RNAcentral lists this ribosomal RNA (468 nucleotides) under uncultured bacterium. RNAcentral's name for it is "partial 16S ribosomal RNA". It matches the Rfam family "Bacterial small subunit ribosomal RNA", at positions 28 to 507 of the family's 1533-position model. The record is from RNAcentral.
GACGAACGCUGGCGGCGUGCUUAACACAUGCAAGUCGAACGGAAAGGCCCUGCUUUUGUGGGGUGCUCGAGUGGCGAACGGGUGAGUAACACGUGAGUAACCUUCCCUUGACUUUGGGAUAACUUCAGGAAACUGGGGCUAAUACCGGAUAGGAGCUCCUGCUGCAUGGUGGUGGUUGGAAAGUUUCGGCGGUUGGGGUUGGACUCGCGGCUUAUCAGCUUGUUGGUGGGGUAGUGGCUUACCAAGGCUUUGACGGGUAGCCGGCCUGGGGGGGUGACCGGCCACAUUGGGACUGAGAUACGGCCCAGACUCCUACGGGAGGCAGCAGUGGGGAAUAUUGCAAAAUGGGCGGAAGCCUGAUGCAGCAACGCCGCGUGCGGGAUGACGGCCUUCGGGUUGUAAACCGCUUUCGCCUGUGACGAAGCGUGAGUGACGGUAAUGGGUAAAGAAGCACCGGCUAACUACGUG